Long non-coding RNA from Neofelis nebulosa (Clouded leopard), 4582 nucleotides. RefSeq lists it as uncharacterized. The record is from RefSeq and is a predicted model, not a curated record. The transcript has 2 exons. Lineage: Eukaryota; Metazoa; Chordata; Mammalia; Carnivora; Felidae.
CACCCCCUACCCCUGCCCCAGGCUCUGAGGAGGCAGAAUCUGGAAAUGAACAGUAUAUAUAGUCCAUUGUAUUCUCCAUUCUCCUCCCAGGGUCAAUACACUGUGAUGCCCAGGCUGCCCCGGGGGGGGGGGAGGGGGGGUGCUUGGUGGGCAUGUCCAAACACUGCAGGAAUGUUGGGUCAUUUUCCAGCACAGUGAGGAAGGAUUGCCUUCCCCAGAAGAGUCACCCCACUGCUGCAACACGGCUAGGUGAGUCAGCUGGAACUCUCCAGGGUAUGUUAUGGUCCCUGACAUCAUUACUUCGUGGUGAGCAUGCUGGCUUUCGUAGCUACCAACUCAAAACCAGAGAUUUGGUAGCAUGGAUGUGCCCCAGUAAUAGUGGGAGCAGACAGCCGUGCCGUGGACUCUGUCAGUUCAGGUUCUCCUAAAUUGCCUUCUGGAGAAAUAACUUUUGUAGGAACUGAGUGGAAAGAAUUUUUUUUUUUUUUCUGUCUAGCCUGAAAGGCUGUGAUUAAAGAUGAAGGGAAAGAAAACUUAGAUUAAACUCUAUGGGUCUCAUUUUUCUAAGUCGUUUAUAAUCUAAGUAGGGAUAUUCCAGGGGUUUUAAUUUUAUGUUUCUGUACUUAACCCAAAGACUUGGGAAGUUUUUUUUAUUUUCUUCCAAAGGCCUCUGAGUCCUGUGAUAAAUAGUGUCUAAAACACAGAUUCUCGUUUGAGGCUAGGGGAUAUAGAAAGAAUAUAUAUUCUUUAACAGAAGCAUGAAAAAUAUUUUAGUGAGUGUUCUCAAAUCCUACCUACUGAAAUGCAUGUAGUAGGUAGAUACAGGAACGAGAGGAAGAAAAGACCUAGGUAUUCAUUUUUUUAAAUACAAAAAUUCCCGGAGAUGAGUUUAAGAUAUUUCUUUCGUGCUCCUUUUACCUCCGAACUACCACUUGGCAAACCUCGAUUGGGAGCCGCAGCGGGCAGCUGAGAUCUCAAGCUCCCCACAGGGCUCGCUGGGGCCAACGCCGACUCGUGCGCUCUGGGGUCUGGGUUCCCUCAGCACCACUCUGACCCAGGAUGAAGCCCCGAGCAGCGAUCCGGCCUGUGUCUGCUUAGGUUACUGUGUUUCAAAGAUCUAGUGUCCCGGAGGCACCGCCUUAGGGUCUCACAUUUAGUCCCUGCGGCUUGAUUUGUUCCCGUUUUUCUGGGGACUCACGCCUCCGGUCCUGGAAACAUUGGCUCGUGCUACUGAUUGAGAGAGGACGGGGCAUCACGGGUUCUCACCUGGCAUUCACAAGGGCUGGGGACGCUCUGGGCUUAUUUGAAAAGUUUGGAUUCUCUUGAGUGCUCUUCUGGAGAGCAAGUCCAUGACCACCGUCAGCUUUUCUCUGACGUCCCCUCUCGGUGGGGAGAGACGUCGCAGGGUGCCACACACACUCCUGAUCUACUGGGCGGGAAAUAGCUGUGUGUCACAUGUACGUGGACCCUGCCGUGGCAGCCGUGGCUGACUCCACUUUAAGCUGAGCUUCUCCCAGCCCCCUUCUCCCGUCUGCAGAGAGCCAUCCAAGGAUCCUCCGUGCGCCAACAUUUCUUGAUCAUCCACCGUGCGCAGGGUAUUUUAGGUGAAUGAUCUCGCUUAAUGCCCUCAGCAACCCCAAGGCAUUGGCUCUCGUUCUUCCCAUUACACACGUGAGAAAAUCGAGGCUCUGAAAGGAAGAGUGACUUGCGCACAGUCACACGGCGAUUAAAGCAGAAGCUGAGUCACCUGGGUCCAAAGCUUGUCUUCUCCAAACCACGCUGCCUCCCACGAAGAGAGGUGCGUACCCCUGAAGUUGUCGCCAGGCAGGAAAGCACUCCUCGCUGAACACUGAGGGGGCUGUCCUCACGCCCUGUGGCGCAUCCGGGACUCAUGCCGAGUGUGACUUGUGUGGGGCUCUACGCCACUGCAGUCCGUACCCUCCCGCUGAGCAGAAUGCCACAUUUGAUGUUCUGCCAGAAGGUUCCUGACAGGGCCGCGAAUAGAAGUAGUCGGUGUUUCUGCCCCUUCCAGAAUGGAAAUAGCACUCAGCUUCCUUCCUUGAAAAUCGACUUGCUGAGUCGAUUUCGAUCGUCGGUGAUGCAGCAAACCGAGGAGCUGGGGAUUUUCAAGACGUCAUUGGCCAACCGUCACAGGUGGCCUUGGAAUCUUGCCCUUGGUGGUCUAACAGCAGCGCGUGUUCUUCUCAGGGGGCGGGGCUUUUCCAGUUCAUUUGCUUGUGACUCCGGUUUUACCUGUGCGUUUUGCCUUCAUACCUGCACACUCUGUCAACUCUCGUCAUCUUGGCUCAGAGUCGCAGCUGUUGAAUUUGACCUGGGUCGGAAAUUAGGUCUCCCGGAGGAUCGCCUUUUAUUGUGGCGGGGGGAUGGCAGCACGCUGGGGAGACAUCCCGGGGAGGAAGGAGCUCUGUUUGUCUCUGAAGGGAUGUCAGAGCCCCGGGUACUCACAUCCUGUUGUCACAGCCCCGAGAGGUUCGGUGACAGCAGAGGUCACCCCCGCUUCUUCGGAGCUGCAUUCUAAGUCCCUUGCGGCUGCACGUAGCACCGUCAGGGCUCUCAGAUGGGGACAGGGAGGCAGAGAGGUGAAACGACUCGUCUGAGGUCCCCCGGCUAGUGGGUGAACGAGCGACGAUUACAAUUCAGACCUGUGACGACCGUGUUCCCCCAGCUGCUGCGGUCGCAUCCAUUUCUUAGCAACGCCAUUAGGUCUUGGAUGUCCUCAGAAACUAGCUGCUCUGCGUUUCCAUCGUGAUGGUGGUGCGAACAGUUAUCCGUAGUCGGUGUUCUACGUGGCAAGGAUGGGGGACACAACACCACCUUUGGGGUUUCCUGGGGCCCGCUCUUUUUCGGUGGCCCUCCACUCCCCUCCUAGGUGCAGAGUCAGGCCUCCUGCUUCACCUGUUGCCUCCUAGUUGUUGGCCAUCAGAGCCCUGCAGUUUUACAGGGCGGAGGCCAUGACCUUGGAGAGCUCGUUGAAAACAAACUCUCAGAGCCCCUGCGCUCCAGUCCUUUUCGGGACAGGGAGGAGGGGAGGAGGGCCAUGAAAGGAAAGCCGUGUGCGUCUGCAGUGCGGCUUCAGUCUUAAGCAGCAGCUGGCAUGUUCUACCUGGCCUGUCUGCACCCCCCCCCCCCCACCCCCGCCCCCACCCCCGCCGCUGCCCCCCCACCAGGCAGGGAAGCCGGCCAAUGGCAGUGCUGAGUCUCCAGGGACGACCCUGACUGAGUCGGGCUCCCAGGACUUCCCGCAAGAGGAGCGAAGUCCUCCCGCGCUGCCGUCAGGGGUGAUGAGCUCGGUGGUCUGAGCCUGGAGGUGAGGCCAGCACCGUAGCCAAGCGACCACAGCCGUUAGCAGCGGAAGGCGGUGGCCUCCUGAGCCUUCUCUUCCCCGGGUCAGUCCCUAUUUCCUGGAGCCCUUGCGAGGGCCCCCGAAGCCCCUGGCUCUUGGCCAGGCUACUAAAGUGUUGCACUGCUGAAUGCUCUUGAAUCUGCUGUGCCCUCUUUUUGUUGAAACCAGCAGCGAGUAAUCCUAAGACGCGUCCAUGCAACAGCUCUCCGCUUAGUGAAGCGUCAAAAGCUGGCCUGGGCCAGUGUGGGCGGGGCCUACAGCACAGCCAUAGGGUCAUGCUGUUUCUGUCACUCCUCGUCCUGAUCUCUGCUGUCCUCUGCAGCCGUCACAAGGGCUAAGCCUUUGGAUGAGCCCCCGUGGUUUCUCCUCAUAAACGCAAUGACCUACCUGUGACUCUGGUCUAACCCCAGGUUGAGAAACAAAACAAAAGCAAGUGACCCCAGCAGCUACUUUGCGCCCCUCCUUCUCCUUCAGGCAUCUAAACAUAUUUAAAUAUAUUUAGUAUUCUGCCCUGUGCCUUGCCCAAGGGAGGGAGAAGUUUCUAGCAAUUAUGGCUUUCUGUUUGCUGCCUGGUGCUUUUACUACCAUUUCUUCUUUUUUCUCUCUCUCUUUUUUUAACCCAAAUUACAUUUGUUUGGUGGAUAUUGUCAAGUAUGUAUUUAUUGCGUUUUACAAACAUGAGUAUAUAUAUAUGUAUGUAUAUGUAUAAAACCAAACUUCUAUAUAAAAAGUCAAGGCAUGUAUACUAGAUAUUUUAAAGAGUUAUUUAUCAAGGGGAAAAGAUGUGUGUUAUACAGUAAACAGAGUCUAUAUUUUAUAUAUAAUGUAGAUAGCAAAAAAUAGCUUAUAAAUUAUAGAAGGUUUUGGUUUUCUUUUUUUAUUAUUAUUAAAGGCAAAAAGAAAAAGGAAAAAAAAAAAGGACAAUGAAUGCAACUGUUUGUAGUGUUUUUAAGGCCAAACUUACCGUGGGAGGAGACGGUCCCUGCGGUGGGGGGGGAGGGGGGGCAGGGCGGUCCUUGGGCCAUGCAGUCUGAGCUCCAGACCCAGGAGCUGAUAGAUGCCCACUGUUGCUGCUGCAAGACUCAGGGGACCGUGGUUAGCAUCGCUCAGCCAGCUGGCAUGUGCCACCUUACACAUGGCCUUUUGCUGCCCUCCCCGACCUGCAUUGGUGGGAUAAGGAAAUGAAAGUAGCCAAUAAAGAUUGAAGAGAAGCUACAA